UGGCACAGUGGUUAAGCACUCGGCUACUAACCGAAAGGUUGGUGGUUCGAACCCACC
Molecule: transfer RNA, 57 nt
Filed under: Loxodonta africana (African savanna elephant)
Lineage: Eukaryota; Metazoa; Chordata; Mammalia; Proboscidea; Elephantidae
Source: Rfam by way of RNAcentral